RNAcentral lists this ribosomal RNA (1031 nucleotides) under Polyporales sp. 4 SR-2012. Its description in RNAcentral is "eukaryotic LSU rRNA". The stretch from base 742 to 1031 matches the Rfam family "Eukaryotic large subunit ribosomal RNA", at positions 1 to 284 of the family's 3401-position model. The record is from RNAcentral. Lineage: Eukaryota; Fungi; Basidiomycota; Agaricomycetes; Polyporales.
CUCCCUUUGUACACACCGCCCGUCGCUACUACCGAUUGAAUGGCUUAGUGAGGUCUUGGGAUUGGCUUCGGGGAGCCGGCAACGGCACCCUGUCGCUGAGAACUUGAUCAAACUUGGUCAUUUAGAGGAAGUAAAAGUCGUAACAAGGUUUCCGUAGGUGAACCUGCGGAAGGAUCAUUAUCGAGUUUUGACUGGGUUGUAGCUGGCCUUCCGAGGCAUGUGCACACCCUGCUCAUCCACUCUACACCUGUGCACUUACUGUGGGUUCCAGACGUUGUGAAGCGGGCUCUUUACGGAGCUUGUAAAGCGGCGUGCCUGUGCCUGCGUUUAUCACAAACUCUAUAAAGUAUUAGAAUGUGUAUUGCGAUGUAACGCAUCUAUAUACAACUUUCAGCAACGGAUCUCUUGGCUCUCGCAUCGAUGAAGAACGCAGCGAAAUGCGAUAAGUAAUGUGAAUUGCAGAAUUCAGUGAAUCAUCGAAUCUUUGAACGCACCUUGCGCUCCUUGGUAUUCCGAGGAGCAUGCCUGUUUGAGUGUCAUGAAAUCUUCAACUUACAGACCUUUGCGGGUUUGUAGGCUUGGACUUUGGAGGCUUGUCGGCCGUGUUUUGGUCGGCUCCUCUUAAAUGUAUUAGCUUGAUUCCUUGCGGAUCGGCUCUCGGUGUGAUAAUGUCUACGCCGCGACCGUGAAGCGUUUUGGCGAGCUUCUAACCGUCUCGUUUGGAGACAGCUUUAUGACCUCUGACCUCAAAUCAGGUAGGACUACCCGCUGAACUUAAGCAUAUCAAUAAGCGGAGGAAAAGAAACUAACAAGGAUUCCCCUAGUAACUGCGAGUGAAGCGGGAAAAGCUCAAAUUUAAAAUCUGGCGGUCUUUGGCCGUCCGAGUUGUAGUCUGGAGAAGUGCUUUCCGCGCUGGACCGUGUAUAAGUCUCUUGGAACAGAGCGUCAUAGAGGGUGAGAAUCCCGUCUUUGACACGGACUACCAGUGCUUUGUGAUGCGCUCUCAAAGAGUCGAGUUGUUUGGAAAUGCA